UAAUGAGGUGGCAGAGUGUAUGAGGCAGUGGAUUGUAAAUUCAUAUAGAAAGGUUUAAAUCCUUUUCUUGUUAU
This 74-nucleotide transfer RNA is filed under the name Brisinga sp. SS-2022. RNAcentral's name for it is "tRNA-Tyr". It matches the Rfam family "tRNA". From Rfam's summary of the family: Transfer RNA (tRNA) molecules are approximately 80 nucleotides in length. Their secondary structure includes four short double-helical elements and three loops (D, anti-codon, and T loops). Lineage: Eukaryota; Metazoa; Echinodermata; Asteroidea; Brisingida; Brisingidae. The record is from RNAcentral.